CAAUAAGCGGAGGAAAAGAAACCAACAGGGAUUGCCUCAGUAACGGCGAGUGAAGCGGCAACAGCUCAAAUUUGAAAUCUGGCGGCCUCUGGGCCGUCCGAGUUGUAAUUUGAAGAGGAUGCUUUUGGCGAGGUGCCUUCCGAGUGCCCUGGAACGGGACGCCACAGAGGGUGAGAGCCCCGUAUGGUCGGACACCGAGCCUCUGUAAAGCUCCUUCGACGAGUCGAGUAGUUUGGGAAUGCUGCUCAAAAUGGGAGGUAAACCCCUUCUAAAGCUAAAUACUGGCCAGAGACCGAUAGCGCACAAGUAGAGUGAUCGAAAGAUGAAAAGCACUUUGAAAAGAGAGUUAAAUAGCACGUGAAAUUGUUGAAAGGGAAGCGCUUGCGACCAGACUUGUGCUCGUCGAAUCAGUCGCCCCUCGCGGGCGGCGCACUUCGGCGGGCUCAGGCCAGCAUCAGUUCGCUGCAGGGGGAGAAAGGCGGCGGGAAUGUGGCUCUUCGGAGUGUUAUAGCCCGCCGCGCAAUACCCCUCGGCGGACUGAGGACCGCGCAUCUGCAAGGAUGCUGGCGUAAUGGUCGUCAGCGACCCGUCUUGAAACACGGACCAAGGAGUCGUCCUAAUAUGCGAGUGUUCGGGUGUAAAACCCCUGCGCGUAAUGAAAGUGAACGGAGGUGAGAGCUUCGGCGCAUCAUCGACCGAUCCUGAUGUUCUCGGAUGGAUUUGAGUAAGAGCAUAUUGGGCCGGACCCGAAAGAAGGUGAACUAUGCCUGUAUAGGGUAAAGCCAGAGGAAACUCUGGUGGAGGCUCGCAGCGGUUCUGACGUGCAAAUCGAUCGUCAAAUAUGGGCAUGGGGGCGAAAGACUAAUCGAACCUUCUAGUAGCUGGUUUCCGCCGAAGUUUC
RNAcentral lists this ribosomal RNA (901 nucleotides) under [Graphium] eumorphum. Its description in RNAcentral is "eukaryotic LSU rRNA". It matches the Rfam family "Eukaryotic large subunit ribosomal RNA", at positions 44 to 970 of the family's 3401-position model. Lineage: Eukaryota; Fungi; Ascomycota; Sordariomycetes; Microascales; Graphiaceae. The record is from RNAcentral.